Calypte anna (Anna's hummingbird) is the source of this 508-nucleotide long non-coding RNA. RefSeq lists it as uncharacterized. The transcript has 4 exons. The record is from RefSeq and is a predicted model, not a curated record. NCBI's taxonomy places the organism in Eukaryota, Metazoa, Chordata, Aves, Apodiformes, Trochilidae.
AAAAGUUUCAAUUCCAUAUGCAUUGCCAGAGAUGAUCAAUAACAAGUGCAGGAGAAGAGUAAGGAAAAAGACAAGAAGGCAUGGCCAAACUGGGGAGUUAAAUGGAGAGUGGCAAGGCAAAAUAAUGUCUUCUGGAAACUCUUGCCUUUUUUUGCAAGAUGGGUCUGCUCAAUGCACCACGUUUGAAUACAGGCUUCAGGGACAAAUCAAUACAAUAUUUCACCACAUCAGAUUUUAGUGUGCAUCUGUACCAACCACAAAUGUUACAGGAUAACACUUCCGCCCCACAGCACAGCUCCUGGCCACAUCUCCUCCAUGCCUGAUUGGUUGCCAUGGACUCCUGGAUCCUCGUGGGGCACAGGCUGUUGGGAGUCCUAGAGCCCAGGAGCUUCUCUGUACAGUGGGACUGAACCCUCCCCCUAGGCUUACCUCAGUCACUGCUGCUGCUGCCUUGCCAACGCCACUAGCUGCAAAGAGAACUGCAUUUAAUUAUAUAAGUAAAAUGUAC